RNAcentral lists this long non-coding RNA (1580 nucleotides) under Triticum aestivum (bread wheat). RNAcentral describes it as "long non-coding RNA (TAES_LNC020323)". Lineage: Eukaryota; Viridiplantae; Streptophyta; Magnoliopsida; Poales; Poaceae. The record is from RNAcentral.
UUCACACAAUCCCAUGUACUAAAUAAGAAAGGGAUAAAGAGUUAGCUUACAAUCGCCACUUCAAACAGAUAACAAGUUAAACAUACAUCAACCAGAGUACAAUCAAGGUCCGACUGCGGGGCCAAAAAUAAAAGAAGACAACCCCAAUGCUAGAUCCCUGAUCGUCCCAACUGGGCACCACUACCGAUCAUCCGAAAAAGACACAACACAACGACCAAGAUCUUCAUCGAGCUCCCACUAGAGCUCGGUUGCGUCACAUGCACUGGUAUCGUCGGCACCUGCAACUGUUUGGAAGUAUCCGUGAGUCACGAGGACUCAUCAAUCUCACACCCGCGAGAUCAAGACUAUUUAAGCUUAUGGGUAGGGUAAGGUAAUGAGGUGGAGCUGCAGUAAUCACUAAGCAUAAAUGGUGGAUAACAUACGCAAAUAAGAGCGAGAAGAGAAGCAACACGAUAGUCGAGAAGCUAGAAGUGAUCAAGAAGUGAUCUUGAAACUACUUACAUUCAAGCAUAACACAAAAUCGUGUUCACUUCCCGGACUCCACCGAGAACAUACCAUCACGGCUACACACACGGUUGAUGUAUUUUAAUUAAGUCAAGUGUCAAGUUCUCUACAACCGAAUAUUAACAAAUUCCCGUCUGCCACAUAACCGCAGACACGACUCUCGAAAGUUUAUACCCUGCACAGGUGUCCCAACUUAGCCCAUCACAAGCUCUCACGGGCAACGAAGAAUAUUCCUUCUCCCGGAAAGACCCGAUCAGUCUCGGAAUCCCGGUUACAAAACAUUUCGACAAUGGUAAAACAAGACCAGCAAAGCCGCCCGAUGUGCCGACAAAUCCCGAUAGGAGUCGCACGUAUCUCGUUCUCAAGGCAUACCGGAUGAACACUAUGUACGGCAAUCGAAGAUACCCCAAGUUGCCUAGGGGCGGCACCGCAAGUGGCUCUAUUUUGGACCAACACUCAGAGGAGCACUGGCCCGGGGGUUAAAAUAAAGAUGACCCUUGAGUCUGCAGAACCCAAGGAAAAAAUGCUUAGGUGGCAAAUGUAAAACCAAGGUUGGGCCUUGCUGGAGGACUUUUGUUCAAAGCGAACUGUGAAGGGGUUCCCAUAACACCCAACCGCGUAAGGAACGCAAAAUCAAGGAACAUAACACCGGUAUGCUGGAAACUAGGGUGGCAAGAGUGAAACAAAACACCAGGCAUAAGGCCGAGCCUUCCGCCCUUUACCAACUAUAUAGAUGCAUUAAUUAAAUAAGAUAUAUUGUGAUAUCCCAACAUAUCCAUGUUCCAACAUGGAACAAACUUCAACUUCACCUGCAACUAGCAACGCUAUAAGAGGGGUUGAGCAAAAGCGGUAACAUAGCCAAACAACGUUUUGCUAGGAAGGUGGGUUAGAGGCUUGACAUGGCAAUAUGGAAGGCAUGUUAUAACAAGUGGUAGGUAGCGCGACAUAGCGAUAGAACGAACAACUAGCAAGCAAAGAUAGAAGUGAUUUCGAGGGUAUGGUCAUCUUGCCUGAGAUCCCGCAAGGAAGAAGAGCGAGUCCAUGAAGAAGACAAACGGACGUGGUUGAACGGAUUC